GACGAACGCUGGCGGCGUGCUUAACACAUGCAAGUCGAACGGAGUGGCGAACGGGUGGGUAACACGGGGGUGACCUGCCCGGCAAUUCGGGCUAAGCCUGGGAAACUGGGUCUAAUACCGGAUAGUGUGGGAUGGGCCCGCGGCCAAUCAGCUUGUUGGUGGGGUAAUGGCCUACGAAGGCGGCGACGGGUAGCCGGCCUGUGAGGGUGGACGCCCACCAUGGGCCUGAGGCACGGCCCAGACGCCUACGGUAGGCAGCGGUGGUGAAUAUUGCACAAUGGGCGGAAGUCUGAUGCAGCGGCUCUGCGUGGGGAAUGACGGCCUUCUGGUUGUAAACUCCUUUCACCAUCGACGCGGUAGAUGGAGAAGAAGCACCGGCUAACUACGUGCCAGCAGCCGCGGUAAUUC
Molecule: ribosomal RNA, 408 nt
Filed under: uncultured bacterium
Lineage: Bacteria
Description: partial 16S ribosomal RNA
Rfam family: Bacterial small subunit ribosomal RNA
Source: RNAcentral